Long non-coding RNA from Platichthys flesus (European flounder), 474 nucleotides. RefSeq lists it as uncharacterized. The record is from RefSeq and is a predicted model, not a curated record. NCBI's taxonomy places the organism in Eukaryota, Metazoa, Chordata, Actinopteri, Pleuronectiformes, Pleuronectidae. The transcript is spliced from 4 exons.
CUUCAUCAUCAUCUUCAUCCGUGGUGUCAGAGUCAUCACUGGAAGAUGAAUAAUCUGUCACCUUAUUCGGGGGACGAACGUCAUCCACUGCACGCAGUUCCUUGGCCAGAGCCGUGAGGUCCUAAAGGUCGGGAGCGGGACAGAGUAAAGCUGCGGGAAAGGAAGAGAGGUUACAGAGGAACACCAGCCAAUGUGAAGGCAACGUGAGAGCGGCAAAGCCAAAGAUGAAGCAAGGGAGGAGGUGACGGUCUCAGCUGAGGCUCUUCAAGCUACUGUAGCAUUCUCUGGCCGUUGGAGGGGUGAGCCCUCGGAUUUGGAAGAGGCUAAAGGAGGUGGAGGUGAAAUGAGCCACAGUGAGAACCAGGCUGAGAGCUGGAGUUACUGGAGCUGCUGGAGGAACUGGAGCCUCCGCUGCCGCUGUUACUGGCUGCUCUGGGAACCAGUUUCUCCACCCGCUCCCACAGCAGCCGAGGC